RNAcentral lists this ribosomal RNA (266 nucleotides) under uncultured bacterium. Its description in RNAcentral is "partial 16S ribosomal RNA". It matches the Rfam family "Bacterial small subunit ribosomal RNA", at positions 335 to 618 of the family's 1533-position model. The record is from RNAcentral.
ACUCCUACGGGAGGCAGCAGUGGGGAAUCUUGCGCAAUGGGCGAAAGCCUGACGCAGCAACGCCGCGUGGGGGAUGAAGGCUCUCGGGUCGUAAACCCCUUUCAGCAGGGACGAAUCUGACGGUACCUGCAGAAGAAGCUCCGGCCAACUACGUGCCAGCAGCCGCGGUAACACGUAGGGAGCAAGCGUUGUCCGGAUUUAUUGGGCGUAAAGAGCUCGUAGGCGGCUCAGCAAGUCGGGUGUGAAAACUCCGGGCUCAACCCGGA